GACUCUCGACAACGGAUAUCUCGGCUCUCGCAUCGAUGAAGAACGUAGUGAAAUGCGAUACUUGGUGUGAAUUGCAGAAUCCCGUGAACCAUCGAGUCUUUGAACGCAAGUUGCGCCCGAAGCCAUCCGGCUGAGGGCACGUCUGCCUGGGCGUC
Molecule: ribosomal RNA, 155 nt
Filed under: Cornus hongkongensis subsp. tonkinensis
Lineage: Eukaryota; Viridiplantae; Streptophyta; Magnoliopsida; Cornales; Cornaceae
Description: 5.8S ribosomal RNA
Rfam family: 5.8S ribosomal RNA
About the family: 5.8S ribosomal RNA (5.8S rRNA) is a component of the large subunit of the eukaryotic ribosome. It is transcribed by RNA polymerase I as part of the 45S precursor that also contains 18S and 28S rRNA.
Source: RNAcentral